RNAcentral lists this long non-coding RNA (816 nucleotides) under Brachypodium distachyon (stiff brome). RNAcentral describes it as "long non-coding RNA (BDIS_LNC005441)". Lineage: Eukaryota; Viridiplantae; Streptophyta; Magnoliopsida; Poales; Poaceae. The record is from RNAcentral.
CGGCGGCGGCUUGGGAGGCGGAGGCCGUCUCGGGAGCGCGUUGGAGGGAGACCAAGGAGAGAAAGAGGAGGAGGAGGGGAGAGGACAGAGUUCAGUGACCCAAUACUAUGGAGAUCCACCACGAGUUUGAAGCUUAUGGGCCGUUAAGUACAGGCGGGAGCUAUUCAUUCCUCUUUCGUAAGCUGCUUAAGUACUCGGUUUUAUGCGAUUUGGGGCUACAUGCGCUGUUUAUUGAUGGCUUUUGUUUCUUGCAGGCCGUCUCUGUGGUGGUGGAGGAGGUAUUGCUUCUCUUCUCUGUCGGUUUUUGCAGGUUUGCCUUCGCUGCAGCUUCUACUGAUUCGUAUGCCUGAUUUUUGCAGGUUCUAGGAUUUGGUCAUGUGUUUCUUUUUUUGGUUCGCUUGUGGUAUUUGUUACUGUACAUGCAAUCGUUCGUAGCAAAACUGUUAUGGAUGUGCUGUUUGUGGAGAAAUUGUGGAACCUCUUAAACCUAGAGAGCAGGGACUAGGUUGAUCUGCCUAACCAUAUUUUUGAACUGAGCAUGUUAUUUACAAGGGGGUGUAAAUUCUGUCCUUGUACCGUAAGAAUCUCUGCUAUGUAUGUCUGUCGUUCCUUGCUUGGUGUGUCUUAUCAGUUUUACCAUGGAGAUGUAAGGCUCGGUUAUUACCGGUGCCUACCAAAACAUGGCUUGAGGCUGAAGAACGAGGAAAACUAGCCCUUUUCAUGUGUGGUUAGAGUCAAACUCUGCAGUAUUGGUUCCAUGGCUAGAGACUUGGAGUGUAAAACUAUGAUAUUUUUAUGUACGGUCAUUGCCUAUAA